GUUCUUCCCAACCAAGUGGUCAUGUCUCUUCUAGUCUUUCAUGAUACACCCUGCUUUUCCACCACCGAAGAUCCAAUAUAAGACUUUGGUGUCUGACCAUGAGACCACCAGUUGGCUGAGUGGUUCUAAAAUCACCUUUACAUCAACACCAUAUCCUGAGAUCCAGAAAAAGGAAGAGACACAGUCCUUGUUCUUUAUAGAAUGAAAGUGACUGCCCAUUCACAGAGAGGAUGAAAGCAAUAAUACAUUUCUUUUUUGAAGGUCUAAGCCCAUCUUGUUACUUUUCAGCUACCCAAAUUAUCCUAGAAGAGCAUCCUUAAUUGCCCUUCCAUAUUUAUCACUCUCCUCUCCUCCUCUCCCUUGCUUUAUACUUCUAUAUCUCUUAGUUUCCUUUUUUUUUUUUCCUUCCCCACUGAGUUGGUACUGAUGGUUGGUAGUGUGGAUAAACAGGCAAACCUUUCUCCCCUAAACUUAGCAUACAUAUGAACUACUGCACUUGAAGGUCUGCCCUACUUAACUGCUGUCCAGUGUAGGAGAAUGAUUCUUUUCUAGGCCCACAGACAUGCCAAGAUAAUCUUCAUGUACAGGACUCAGCUAAACCAGUAAUAUUGAAAGGAUUUCUGUGUUCUUUCUACUUUACAUCUGGGAGGUUGAGCUCUUGCUCAUCUGGGAAAAAGGAUGUGCAGGGGACACUGUGUCUGGAUUCAGAAAGGAAAUACAUUCCCUUGCUAUAGAAGCUCCCAUGCCAAUGUCCAGCACCCCUUCCCCUUCUCAACAAAUUAAUCAGGACACCUA
This 795-nucleotide long non-coding RNA is filed under the name Bos taurus (domestic cattle). RNAcentral describes it as "long non-coding RNA NONBTAT017837". Lineage: Eukaryota; Metazoa; Chordata; Mammalia; Artiodactyla; Bovidae. The record is from RNAcentral.